AUCUAACUGACAAGUCCCAAAUAGAACGAAAUGCACACCUAGAU
RNAcentral lists this non-coding RNA (44 nucleotides) under Trichobilharzia regenti. The record is from RNAcentral. Lineage: Eukaryota; Metazoa; Platyhelminthes; Trematoda; Strigeidida; Schistosomatidae.